RNAcentral lists this ribosomal RNA (254 nucleotides) under uncultured bacterium. RNAcentral's name for it is "partial 16S ribosomal RNA". It matches the Rfam family "Bacterial small subunit ribosomal RNA", at positions 524 to 776 of the family's 1533-position model. The record is from RNAcentral.
UACGGAGGGUGCAAGCGUUAUCCGGAUUCACUGGGUUUAAAGGGCGCGUAGGCGGUCAGCACAAGUCAGUUGUGAAAUCUCCGGGCUUAACUCGGAAAGGUCAACUGAUACUGUGCGACUAGAGUGCAGAAGGGGCAACUGGAAUUCUCGGUGUAGCGGUGAAAUGCGUAGAUAUCGAGAGGAACACCUGCGGCGAAGGCGGGUUGCUGGGCUGAUACUGACGCUGAGGCGCGAAAGCCAGGGGAGCGAACGGG